GAUGAACGCUGGCGGCGUGCUUAACACAUGCAAGUCGAACGGAAAGGCCGAAGCUUGCUUCGGUACUCGAGUGGCGAACGGGUGAGUAACACGUGGGUGAUCUGCCCUGUACUUCGGGAUAAGCUUGGGAAACUGGGUCUAAUACCGGAUAUGACGAUCUCUUGGAUGGGGUUGUGGAAAGCUUUUGCGGUAUGGGAUGAGCUCGCGGCCUAUCAGCUUGUUGGUGGGGUAAUGGCCGACCAAGGCGUCGACGGGUAGCCGGCCGGAGAGGGUGUACGGCCACAUUAGGACUGAGAUACGGCCCAGACUCCUACGGGAGGCAGCAGUGGGGAAUAUUGCACAAUGGGCGCAAGCCUGAUGCAGCGACGCCGCGUGGGGGAUGACGGCCUUCGGGUUGUAAACUCCUUUCGCAAUCGACGAAGCCUUUUGGUGACGGUAGGUGGAGAAGAAGCACCGGCUAACUACGUG
This 468-nucleotide ribosomal RNA is filed under the name uncultured bacterium. RNAcentral's name for it is "partial 16S ribosomal RNA". It matches the Rfam family "Bacterial small subunit ribosomal RNA", at positions 28 to 507 of the family's 1533-position model. The record is from RNAcentral.